CCAGCGAACUUGGCAGAGAUGCCUUGGUGCCUUCGGGAACGCUGAGACAGGUGCUGCAUGGCUGUCGUCAGCUCGUGUUGUGAAGUGUUGGGUUAAGUCCCGCAACGAGCGCAACCCUUAUCCUUUGUUGCCAGCGAUUCGGUCGGGAACUCAAAGGAGACUGCCGGUGAUAAACCGGAGGAAGGUGGGGAUGACGUCAAGCCAUCAUGGCCCUUACGAGUAGGGCUACACACGUGCUACAAUGGCGCAUACAAAGAGAAGCGACCUCGCGAGAGCAAGCGGACCUCAUAAAGUGCGUCGUAGUCCGGAUCGGAGUCUGCAACUCGACUCCGUGAAGUCGGAAUCGCUAGUAAUCGUGGAUCAGAAUGCCACGGUGAAUACGCUCCCGGGCCUUGUACACACCGCCCGUCACACCAUGGGAGUGGGUUGCAAAAGAAGUAGGUAGCUUAACCUCCGGGAGGGCGCUUACCACUUUGUGAUUCAUGACUGGGGUGAAGUCGUAACAAGGUAAGCGUAGCGAG
Molecule: ribosomal RNA, 521 nt
Filed under: uncultured bacterium
Lineage: Bacteria
Description: bacterial SSU rRNA
Rfam family: Bacterial small subunit ribosomal RNA
Source: RNAcentral